This 26-nucleotide non-coding RNA is filed under the name Cricetulus griseus (Chinese hamster). Lineage: Eukaryota; Metazoa; Chordata; Mammalia; Rodentia; Cricetidae. The record is from RNAcentral.
CGGUGUAUUUGCCUUAAAACUGGAGA